GACGAACGCUGGCGGCGUGCUUAACACAUGCAAGUCGAACGGAAAGGCCCCGCUUUUGUGGGGUGCUCGAGUGGCGAACGGGUGAGUAACACGUGAGUAACCUGCCCUUGACUUUGGGAUAACUUCAGGAAACUGGGGCUAAUACCGGAUAGGAGCUCCUGCUGCAUGGUGGGGGUUGGAAAGUUUCGGCGGUUGGGGAUGGACUCGCGGCUUAUCAGCUUGUUGGUGGGGUAGUGGCUUACCAAGGCUUUGACGGGUAGCCGGCCUGAGAGGGUGACCGGCCACAUUGGGACUGAGAUACGGCCCAGACUCCUACGGGAGGCAGCAGUGGGGAAUAUUGCACAAGGGGCGGAAGCCUGAUGCAGCAACGCCGCGUGCGGGAUGACGGCCUUCGGGUUGUAAACCGCUUUCGCCUGUGACGAAGCGUGAGUGACGGUAAUGGGUAAGAAGCACCGGCUAACUACGUG
RNAcentral lists this ribosomal RNA (467 nucleotides) under uncultured bacterium. RNAcentral's name for it is "partial 16S ribosomal RNA". It matches the Rfam family "Bacterial small subunit ribosomal RNA", at positions 28 to 507 of the family's 1533-position model. The record is from RNAcentral.